AAAAAUAACUAAUAUGAAAUAUAUCAGCUUCAAAUGAAAUAAUUAUAGCAUAUAAUAAAAUAACGAAUACUAGUGUAUCACUUGCUAUGGACAGACAUUGUCUUACAACAGCCCUCUGAGGUUGGUUCUAUUAUUGUCCUCACUUUAAAAAUGAGGAAAACGUGCCCCAAUCACACAGCUAGAAAGAGGCUGAGCUGGUAGCAAAUCCAAGCACACUGGCUGCUAACUGUGUGCUCUGACCCACUGUCUCUCGUGUGUCUUUGUUAGGAAAUUUCAUGAUCCGACUGGAAUCCAGGAAAAUCACAGCUGAAAUACAAAACAUCAGCCCUUAUCUCCAGCACUGUACAUGGCAGAAACUGCUUUUAUUCUAGAUGUCUAGAUCCAGAUCAACUGCAUGGGGUCCUACAGGAGAAGACCAAGAGACAGAGACAGAGACCAGGGAAAAUGACCGAUACCAUUCCUUCUCAGGGAUGCUACACACCCAUGGGGCAGAGGAUAAGAGGUUCCUGAAGGCAUCACCCCUCUGGCCAUGGCUGGUGUGCAGACAAAGCUGGAGAUUUGGAGUAGCCUGUUGUCCCACUGACUCUUAGACUGCCCCAGCUAAGAAGAACCAACUCCUCCUAUUACAGAUGAAAUAAACAAAGCUACUCAAGCUCUCUGGCAUCGCCCUGACGGUCAUCAUGUGCUUCACAUUUCCCUCCUGCCCCCCCUGAUUUUCUGGAAAAGGGAGAAAGUGUGUGAAAAAAAAUGGACAAUAACUUCUGUUAACUUUGUAGAUGUCUGGUUCCUCCAUAUGAGGCUGUGCUUGAAUCAAUUUUGGAGAGAGGGUUUCUAAAGUCUCUCUAGAUUCUAUUAAUUUUGAUAGAGACAAUAAAAGGCAGCAGGACCAACUCUGUGUGGUGGGAGAUCUAGCAACCAUUAUAGUCACAAUAGCCACCACUUACUGAACACCCACCAUGUGACAAAGAACAAAUGUGCAUGAAUUAUGUCACAUUUUUCACAAGCACCCCUUGAGUUGGGAGUUCACUCAUGAGGCAACUGAGGUUCAGGGAGAUGAAGUAACUCACCCUGUAGGUAGGAGGGCUGAGAUCUGGACGUAGAUCUUUCCUCCAAAGCUUUGUCUUUUUUUUUCUACUAUAGCACACCAAAGAGAGUUCUAGAAAAAAUGAGAAUAAGAAAUUUACCUGUAAUCCUUGCUCAAGAAACUGAAGCUCUGAGGCCACAUUGUUCCAGCCUUUUGCAGCUCCUGCAUGUGGAUACCAGCACCAGCAGCUCCCCGACCAGGGGCCCCAGCUAAGCCCUCCCAGAGGAUGAUCUUGGCUUUGUACAUGGGGUGUCAAUAUCCUGUGAGUCCAACAGAGGGAAGACAUAAGAAUAUGGUCACCCAGGUAACAGACAUUUGUCUUAAUGUAUUCACUGUGUCAUCAGAAGCCACUUCUUAUCCAUCCUUGUGAAUACUUGAUGAAUGAGGAGUCAAUGAUUAAAUGAAGGAAAGAAAAGAGACUGAAAAGGAGGUAUGAGAAUGGGAAAGACGAGUGGAAAGACGAGAUAGAUAUUGCCCUAAAGACACAGUAAGCCAUCAAAUAUCUGUUUUCUAGUCCCCUUCUGGGCCCUCUUGGAUUUUGAAAAAGGGAGGAAGAAAUUGGAAAAAUUACCAAUAACUUCUAUUGACUUUGUAGAUUCCUAGUUUCCCCACAUGUGGCUAUGCUUGAAUCAACUUGUAAAAGUCUCUUUAUAGUCUGUUGAUGUUCAUGCAGGCACUAAAAGGCCACGGUCGGCCUACUUAGAUGAUCCACUCCACCCUGGGCUCCGGAAGAUGUUCCAGGGCAUUUGCCUUUACUUGACCCUAUGCUGAGAAGCUACCAAUAUUUUUCUUUCCCCAAAUUGGUUUUAUUUGUACCCUUUAUAUAUUAAAUAUUAGAGUAUUGGCCAAGUUGAAGGAGUCUUCUUCUAUGGCUGGUUUCAAUAAACAUGGUGGAAUAAAUAUAUAUAUCAUAUAUAUAUAGUAUACGUAUAUAUAUUUUAUAUAUAUAGUAUAUGUAUAUACAUUAUAUAUAUAGUAUAUGUAUAUAUUAUAUAUAUAGUAUAUGUAUAUAUUAUAUAUAUAGUAUAUGUAUAUAUAUUAUAUAUAUAGUAUAUGUAUAUAUAUUAUAUAUAGUAUAUGUAUAUAUCUUAUAUAUAGUAUAUGUAUAUAUCUUAUAUAUAUAGUAUAUGUAUAUAUAUACACACAUGUGUGUAUAUAUAUGCAUAUAUUUCUUAGUAAUUUAAAGUUGCAAGGGACUUUGGGAUCAUGAAUCAUUUUACAGUUGUGGAACUGAGAGCCAGCAAAAUUAAAUGACUUGCCCAAGAAUACUAGCAAGUUAGUAGCAGAACCAGGACCCAUCUUGUCUUAAAAGGCUUAAGAGGUAGUCAGUCAAUUAAUUAAUCAAAUAUUUAUUGAUAACCACAAUCCAUCCCCAUCCCUCAUGAAGAGCAGAGACUAAAUUGCCAACUUGCUUUCGCCAGGAGGGCUAUGAUACAAUGUAGAAAGUACUGGCAUUAUUGUGUUGCUCAUAUUAAGGCUUGUGGCAACUCUGAAUUCAUGAAUUAUAGUGACUUUAAUAGACAACAUAAAAUAGUGAACUGAAGGAUGACUUUUAUCUGUAGGUCAAGCAAAGGGAUAUAGACCGUAUGGAAAUACAGCACCUCAGGGGUGCCUGGUGUAAUAAGAAACAACUUUAAAAAAAAAGGAGGGGAUGUGGCCCUAAAAGUUAUCAACUGUCAAUCAGACUUGACCAUGAAAAAUUGGCCAAAGAAAGAUUUGGGCCCACAGGUUUUGUACAGAGGAAAUCCAGGCUCCUAACGAUGGCGAAAGAUGGGAAUAAAAGGAUCAGAACACUGAGCUGGAUCUUCAGUUCAUUUCAGGUAUGGAGAAGGGUAAAUGGUCUUUAAAGAAGGCCGACCUCAAUGAAGGUGUCUUCCAAGGCCUUGUCCACUCAAGGACAUGUUGCAUGCCUGAAACUGAGUAUACAGGAAAAGGAUAGAAAUGGAAUAAAAUGGAAACCCAUAAAUCACACUACCCUGCUAUGCAGUUUCAAACCACUGACUUAAUGAAAUGUUGAUCCACUUUGCCAUGGAUGCCCCACUUUUUAACUCCUUCUUCAGAGUCCCAGGAGGUGAGGCUCUUCUGUUUAACUGAUUUGCAGAAUUUUUGCUUCUGCUAUUACAAUGGCUUCCAUAGUUGAGUACCAAAGACACUUUACUAUGGUGCCACAGAGAUCAUUUUGCAGAUGAGGAAACAGACUGUUCUACUACCCAGGCUUUGGUUUUUUCUACUCAGUCUUGCACAAUCUCUCACUCUCAGCCCAGAACAUUGCUGCAUUUUUGUGAGCCAUCAGCAUCCAAAGUGAACACAGGGUCUAAAUAACUGAAGAUGGCAUGAGGGAACACACAAUCAGGUCUUUAAAAAAAGAAGAAAGUGAAUAGGCAAACUGAACAGGACAUCUAGGACUGAAAAGCCUCUGUGAACAACUGGACUCAAUAUGAAAUUGGCGUGAGCUCACAGAAGACCAGCUGAGUUCCAGAUGUGGUUGGGUAGCUUGGGUUAUGGGCCCGUAUAAAAAAAAUGGUCUCUUCUUGUAAAAGGAAUUCAAAAAAAGACUAAAAGUCACCCCAAAGAGUCACUGUCUUUGUCUUUUGGCCAUUAGUAAGUCAGAAGAGACCUCUAGAGGAGACUGGAUUUUGUGGCUGAUUAUCGAUUAAUUGAUCAUCACUGGGUAUCUUUGGGAGUGUUGCCUUCUCAGGGAGAAGCUGAAAAUCAUUCUGUGAAAGGUAUGUCCACUGACAAUCAUUUAAGCUCUUUGGAGGCAAGAAAUCAGGUAUCUGGGAGAACUCAGAGAUAACAUAGGAGCGACAGGCUGAAACCAUGAGCGAGAUGGGCAGAUGGCUUGAGAAUGACGAUGGGCAGAGGAGAGCAGUGGCAGGGAGAACCCACAGGCCUCUACUUGGAGUCAGCCUGUCAGCAGGAUAAGCUACAAGAUCACCCUCGAGGGAAACUGCAGGCCAGGUCAGGGGCACUGCAAGCUGCAGGUGUGCCCAGGCAGGAGGGCAGGUGGCCUGUGAUGAGGGGCCAUGACUGUGUGGUGGGCUCUCCCACACCAGGAGCAACUAGACACUAGACUGAAAGUUCUUUUAAGUGAGGGAGCCAUCUUCUGUCCAGGGAAAAGUGGUUCGGGAUACAGGAGGAGCCCUGCACCACAGAAUCGGUCUAGUCUCAGGCUGUCUGUUCCACAGGAGCCUCCAGCCCAGUGAUGUAGGCAGCUAUUCACAACCACAUCAUGGCACAAAGUGAGGCCUCCCAAUCCACAGCCAUCCCUGAUUACAGACACUUCACUGGAUGUCUGAACAUAGCUGUGUGUGCCUGGAAAGCCUAGAAAUAGAAACGCUCCUUUUUUCCCCAAGACGAUCAUCUCUACAUCCUGACCUGGAUCAACAGUGAUCCAUUCUGGACAAUCCUGGACACUCCUGCUCCUGGAGAGAAGGGAUAGAUAACUUUUCCACCUGCCUGCCUGUCCUGUCCACCUCGAGGUGGUCUUGUGGCAUCUUGGGCCUCACAUGUCCCAUAGUCUCUUCUCAUCCCUCCAAUUUGCUCCUUCUCCAGACUUCUCUCUCUUGGUUGAGUGGUUCCACCAUUUUCCCAAGUUGCUUGGACCCAACACUUGAGUUACAGCCAACUCCUCUCUUUCUCUCACAACCCAAAUCUAAUUCAUCAGUAAGUCCUGGUGGCUCCACAUUCGGAAUGUUCCUGGGAUGCCACCACUUUUUGUCAUCUCUGUUACUGCUAGCCUGCCCCUUGCUACUGUCAGCUCCAGCCUGGAGGACUGAAAUAACCUCCUCACUGUCUCCAGCUGUUCUUCCCGCCCAUGGUCUAUUCCCCAGACACCACCAGAGGGAUGCUUUGAAGUCCAGAUGGCAUCAUGUCAUUUAGAAUGAAACCUGAGGUCCCAAGUGUGGCCCGAGGGAUGGUCAGGUUGCCCCCAGGGCUCCAUUUCCUGCCACUCUUCCUCUCUCUCACUCUGCUGGAGCCACAUGGUUACUAUUCCUGAACACAGGAGGCUCCCUCCUGCUUCAGGUCUCGUGCAGAUUUGUUCCCACAGCCUGGGGACAGAUUUUAUCCCAGAAGUUCCCAGGGCUUGAUUCCUCCCUUUAUUUAGUUCUCAGCUGAAAUGUCCCCUCUUCUGAGCAGCCUUCUCUCACCACCCGAUGGAAGCAGCCGUCCCUGCACGCUCUAUCACUUCACUCGGCUCUAUUUUUCUUCCUAACACGUUCACAACUUGACAUUCUUUUAUAAUUUUUCACUUAUUUAUUGAGUGCUGUCUCUUCCACUAGAACCCCUGAAAGCAGGGAUUUUUAUAAUCUUUUGGCCACCACUAGAUUCAUAAGGAUGCACAGAGCCUGGUAGGCUGCAGGCUGUCCAUAACUGCUUGUUGAAUGAAUCGAUGGAUGAAUGAUCAGCAGAAGCUCGUUUCUCUCCAUGAAAUACAACGGGUUCCAAAGAAAUCGAAGCCUUUUUGAAAGGCCUAGCCAUACUUCACCCAUACAGCUGCAGUGGCAGAUCCAUGCUCAUGACCUCAUUUCUCUCC
RNAcentral lists this long non-coding RNA (5621 nucleotides) under Homo sapiens (human). RNAcentral's name for it is "HSALNT0129368". Lineage: Eukaryota; Metazoa; Chordata; Mammalia; Primates; Hominidae. The record is from RNAcentral.